This 460-nucleotide ribosomal RNA is filed under the name uncultured bacterium. RNAcentral describes it as "partial 16S ribosomal RNA". It matches the Rfam family "Bacterial small subunit ribosomal RNA", at positions 338 to 795 of the family's 1533-position model. The record is from RNAcentral.
CCUACGGGAGGCAGCAGUGAGGAAUAUUGGUCAAUGGCCGGAAGGCUGAACCAGCCAUGCCGCGUGAAGGUCAGUGCCCUAUGGGCGUUAAACUUCUUUUGUGCGGGAGCAAUAAUGGUCACGUGUGGCCAGACGAGAGUACCGUACGAAUAAGCAUCGGCUAACUCCGUGCCAGCAGCCGCGGUAAUACGGGGGAUGCAAGCGUUAUCCGGAUGUAUUGGGUUUAAAGGGUGCGUAGGCUGUGAGGUAAGUCAGCGGUGAAAUGCCCCCGCUCAACGGGGUGAAGUGCCAUUGAUACUGCCUGGCUGGAAUGCGGAUGCCGUGGGAGGAAUGUGUGGUGUAGCGGUGAAAUGCAUAGAUAUCACACAGAACACCGAUUGCGAAGGCAUCUCACGAAGCCGCGAUUGACGCUGAUGCACGAAAGCGUGGGUAUCAAACAGGAUUAGAUACCCUUGUAGUC